RNAcentral lists this ribosomal RNA (253 nucleotides) under uncultured bacterium. RNAcentral describes it as "partial 16S ribosomal RNA". It matches the Rfam family "Bacterial small subunit ribosomal RNA", at positions 524 to 776 of the family's 1533-position model. The record is from RNAcentral.
UACGGAGGGUGCAAACGUUGCUCGGAAUCAUUGGGCGUAAAGCGCACGUAGGCGGCCUGUUAAGUCGGGGGUGAAAGCCCGAGGCUCAACCUCGGAACUGCCUUCGAUACUGCGGGUCUCGAGUCCGGGGGAGGUGAGUGGAAUUCCUAGUGUAGAGGUGAAAUUCGUAGAUAUUAGGAAGAACACCAGUGGCGAAGGCGGCUCACUGGCCCGGUACUGACGCUGAGGCGCGAAAGCGUGGGGAGCAAACAGG